Molecule: ribosomal RNA, 490 nt
Filed under: uncultured bacterium
Lineage: Bacteria
Description: partial 16S ribosomal RNA
Rfam family: Bacterial small subunit ribosomal RNA
Source: RNAcentral
AUUGAACGCUGGCGGCAUGCCUAACACAUGCAAGUCGAACGGUAACAGGAAGCAGCUUGCUGCUUUGCUGACGAGUGGCGGACGGGUGAGUAAUGUCUGGGAAACUGCCCGAUGGAGGGGGAUAACUACUGGAAACGGUAGCUAAUACCGCAUAACGUCGCAAGACCAAAGAUGGUGACCUUAGGGCCUCUUGCCAUCGGAUGUGCCCAGAUGGGAUUAGCUAUUAGGUGGUGUAACGGCUCACCUAGGCCACGAUCCCUAGCUGGUCUGAGAGAGUGACCAGCCACACUGGAACUGAGACACGGUCCAGACUCCUACGAGAGGCAGCAGUGGGGAAUAUUGCACAAUGGGCGCAAGCCUGACGCAGCCAUGCCGCGUGUAUGAAGAAGGCCUUCGGGUUGUAAAGUACUUUCAGCGGGGAGGAAGGGAGUAAAGUUAAUACCUUUGCUAAUUGACGUUACCCGCAGAAGAAGCACCGGCUAACUACGUG